AGUGAACGCUGGCGGUAGGCCUAACACAUGCCAGUCGAACGGCAGCACAGUAAGAGCUUGCUCUUACGGGUGGCGAGUGGCGGACGGGUGAGGAAUACAUCGGAAUCUACUUUUUCGUGGGGGAUAACGUAGGGAAACUUACGCUAAUACCGCAUACGACCUACGGGUGAAAGCAGGGGAUCUUCGGACCUUGCGCGAUUGAAUGAGCCGAUGUCGGAUUAGCUAGUUGGCGGGGUAAAGGCCCACCAAGGCGACGAUCCGUAGCUGGUCUGAGAGGAUGAUCAGCCACACUGGAACUGAGACACGGUACAGACUCCUACGGGAGGCAGCAGUGGGGACUAUUGGACAAUGGGCGCAAGCCUGAUCCAGCCAUACCGCGUGGGUGCAGAAGGCCUUCGGGUUGUAAAGCCCUUUUGUUGGGAAAGAAAAGCAGCAGGUUAAUACCCCGCUGUUCUGACGGUACCCAAAGAAUAAGCACCGGCUAACUUCGUG
RNAcentral lists this ribosomal RNA (492 nucleotides) under uncultured bacterium. Its description in RNAcentral is "partial 16S ribosomal RNA". It matches the Rfam family "Bacterial small subunit ribosomal RNA", at positions 29 to 507 of the family's 1533-position model. The record is from RNAcentral.